This 234-nucleotide long non-coding RNA is filed under the name Vigna radiata. RNAcentral describes it as "long non-coding RNA (VRAD_LNC011174)". Lineage: Eukaryota; Viridiplantae; Streptophyta; Magnoliopsida; Fabales; Fabaceae. The record is from RNAcentral.
UUUCCCUCUUAGCCGCGCCACCACUCAGCGGUCAGUUUUACCGCUCAGCGGUUUGCCUCUAAUCGCUUUGACCGCUCAACGUUGAUUUUGGCCGCUGAGCGGUUCAUAGACUCUUCUUUUCUUCCUUUUUCUUCCUCUUUCUUGAGUCUAAGUCCGUCCUAAUUCACUUCCACCUUCAAUUCUCAUCAAAACCCUACAAAACAAUGCAAAAAGAAGCAUAAUAUCUCUAAAACC